RNAcentral lists this long non-coding RNA (298 nucleotides) under Elaeis guineensis (African oil palm). RNAcentral describes it as "long non-coding RNA (EGUI_LNC076036)". Lineage: Eukaryota; Viridiplantae; Streptophyta; Magnoliopsida; Arecales; Arecaceae. The record is from RNAcentral.
GACCGACGGAAGAUCGGGGAUGACCGGCGUAUCCACCAUGAUCGGUGCUGGGUCGACGGCCGAAGCAGGAUCGUCGAUCGGCGGGGGGCUGACAGUCGGCGCCGGGACAGGAGUCGCAGCCGUCUCUCCUUCGGCCACUUGUCCCUGGACGGCCUCCCCCGCCACGGCGAUGCCUCCCGAUGACGGGUCGGCCAUCUCUUCAGUGACUUGGUCGCCGGCCCCCGGCGGGACGAUACUGCUGAGGUCCAGCUCUGGGUACAAGGCUUGGACCGCAUCCCGACCGUCCUCGUACCCCACC